UGAGGAAUAUUGGUCAAUGGGCGAGAGCCUGAACCAGCCAAGUCGCGUGAGGGAGGAAGGUCCUACGGAUUGUAAACCUCUUUUGCCGGGGAGCAAAGGGGCCAUUGAUGGCAGGAUGAGCGUACCCGGAGAAAAAGCAUCGGCUAACUCCGUGCCAGCAGCCGCGGUAAUACGGGGGAUGCGAGCGUUAUCCGGAUUCAUUGGGUUUAAAGGGUGCGUAGGCGGCUUUGCAAGUCAGCGGUGAAAGGCCCGGGCUCAACCCGGAAAGUGCCGUUGAUACUGUGAGGCUGGAAUGCGGAUGCUGUGGGAGGAAUGAGUGGUGUAGCGGUGAAAUGCAUAGAUAUCACUCAGAACACCGAUUGCGAAGGCAUCUCACAAAUCCGCAAUUGACGCUGAGGCACGAAAGCGUGGGG
Molecule: ribosomal RNA, 413 nt
Filed under: uncultured Barnesiella sp.
Lineage: Bacteria; Pseudomonadati; Bacteroidota; Bacteroidia; Bacteroidales; Barnesiellaceae
Description: bacterial SSU rRNA
Rfam family: Bacterial small subunit ribosomal RNA
Source: RNAcentral